Molecule: long non-coding RNA, 1128 nt
Organism: Danaus plexippus (monarch butterfly)
Lineage: Eukaryota; Metazoa; Arthropoda; Insecta; Lepidoptera; Nymphalidae
Exons: 2
Source: RefSeq, a predicted model, not a curated record
UAUAAUUUAUUUUUUUAUUACAAAUAUAAUAUUAAGAGUUUUUCAUAAGUAAGCGACUAUUAAAAAUAUAUCUUACAAAUACGGGCUGUAUUAGGUAAACCUUUUUUGACAAGUUUUAUUUGCAAAAACGUCAAAUGCCAAAACGCUACGUGUAAAAUUUUUAAGUAGAGACGAAACAUCUCAGCACUCCAUGGAUUCACUGUGCGGAUGCCGGGUCCAUCGCGUUGCAGGGAGAGGAGCUUCAACAGUGCCUGGGACUUACCACCCAAGUGUAGGUUUAAAGGGGCCCUAUUUAACGCGCGUUAAACGCUCACCUCCACUGUCCAAGUUCCUCUUUCUACAUAACGAAAUUUAAAACGAACCUGCUAGGGCUGCCUUUGUCGCACGUUCCAAGAAUGAACUGAUGUUAGUUCUUGACAGGCCCAAGUCUUUUAGCAGGUUGUAGAGAGAUUUGGCUGUUAUACCACUCUCUCCUUUUACAACGAACCUAUUCUUAGUGCGUUCGUUAGUGAGCUCGUAAUACUUGUUGACCUUGAUGGCAUGGGCUUUGAGUAUGUUGGUUUCCCCACGAACCGUAAGCUCUAUUACAUUAUCCCAAAAUUAUUGCGAUCCCUGAAUAACGCUGACGAAUCAGCCGAUAGCCCGAGCCACAACUUCAACAUCUUCAUGGCGCUUGCAUCUAAGUUUAACAAAAGGUUUUAAUUAAAAUCAUAGAAGAGGAAAGGCCAAUUCAAGCGUGAUAUUAGAUAAUUAUCGUAGAUCCAAGUUUCUUUGAAGUUGCUAAUCGGUUGGUUAUCGACCUUGUUAAGAUCGUUCAAAAAGCUAUCUACUAUUCCUUCUAAAGAUGGAGUACGACCCAUAUCAUUAUAUAUAAUUUUUAAUAAAGGGAAUAAAACGUACAAAACUAUAAAUAAGGAGUUUUUAUUAUUAUUCAAUAUUAUGUAUAUAAUAAUCUAUAUUAUGUUACAUUAAAAGACACUUACAGGUAAUGAUAGCUAGUUUGCGGUAAUGAGGAAAUCUUUGAGAAUUUAUUAUGAUUUUUUUGGAAAAAAAACAAACAUUAAAACAGCACGUAUCACCAUGAUGUGAAGCGAAACUAACUUCUGAUGAAGAGAGACCGGAAGGUGA